RNAcentral lists this ribosomal RNA (534 nucleotides) under uncultured bacterium. RNAcentral's name for it is "bacterial SSU rRNA". It matches the Rfam family "Bacterial small subunit ribosomal RNA", at positions 974 to 1509 of the family's 1533-position model. The record is from RNAcentral.
CCUGGCCUGACAUACUAAGAACUUUCCAGAGAUGGAUUGGUGCCUUCGGGAACUUAGAUACAGGUGCUGCAUGGCUGUCGUCAGCUCGUGUCGUGAGAUGUUGGGUUAAGUCCGCAACGAGCGCAACCCUUUUCCUUAUUUGCCAGCGGGUAAUGCCGGGAACUUUAAGGAUACUGCCAGUGACAAACUGGAGGAAGGCGGGGACGACGUCAAGUCAUCAUGGCCCUUACGGCCAGGGCUACACACGUGCUACAAUGGUCGGUACAAAGGGUUGCUACCUCGCGAGAGGAUGCUAAUCUCAAAAAGCCGAUCGUAGUCCGGAUCGCAGUCUGCAACUCGACUGCGUGAAGUCGGAAUCGCUAGUAAUCGCGGAUCAGAAUGCCGCGGUGAAUACGUUCCCGGGCCUUGUACACACCGCCCGUCACACCAUGGGAGUUUGUUGCACCAGAAGUAGGUAGUCUAACCGCAAGGAGGACGCUUACCACGGUGUGGCCGAUGACUGGGGUGAAGUCGUAACAAGGUAAGCGUAGAUGA